GAGUUUGAUCUUGGCUCAGAUUGAACGCUGGCGGCAGGCUUAACACAUGCAAGUCGAGCGGGGGAGAUUGCUUCGGUAAUUGACCUAGCGGCGGACGGGUGAGUAAUACUUAGGAAUCUGCCUAUUAAUGGGGGACAACAGUCUCGAAAGGGAUGCUAAUACCGCAUACGCCCUACGGGGAAAGCAGGGGAUCGACUUGUGACCUUGCGUUAAUAGAUGAGCCUAAGUCGGAUUAGCUAGUUGGUGGGGUAAAGGGCCUACCAAGGCGACGAUCUGUAGCGGGUCUGAGAGGAUGAUCCGCCACACUGGGACUGAGACACGGCCCAGACUCCUACGGGAGGCAGCAGUGGGGAAUAUUGGACAAUGGGGGGAAACCCUGAUCCAGCCAUGCCGCGUGUGUGAAGAAGGCCUUAUGGUUGUAAAAGCACUUUAAGCGAGGAGGAGGCUCCUGUA
RNAcentral lists this ribosomal RNA (453 nucleotides) under uncultured microorganism. RNAcentral's name for it is "bacterial SSU rRNA". It matches the Rfam family "Bacterial small subunit ribosomal RNA", at positions 9 to 458 of the family's 1533-position model. The record is from RNAcentral.